RNAcentral lists this transfer RNA (75 nucleotides) under Thermoprotei archaeon. RNAcentral describes it as "tRNA-Ile". It matches the Rfam family "tRNA". From Rfam's summary of the family: Transfer RNA (tRNA) molecules are approximately 80 nucleotides in length. The record is from RNAcentral. RNAcentral also lists the same sequence under 1 other name. Lineage: Archaea; Thermoproteati; Thermoproteota; Thermoprotei.
GGGCCCGUAGCUUAGCCUGGUUGGAGCGCCCGGCUGAUAACCGGGAGGCCCCGGGUUCGAAUCCCGGCGGGCCCA